GUUUUUGCAGAAAUGCUGAACAAGUAAGUACCAUGCAACAAUGAAUUGAUGUGUGACAUGGUUUACUCUGGAAGACCUCAACAAGGUUGUGAAGAUUGACCAAGAUGGCUGUAUGGCAGUUGAACACAUGUCUGGGACAGAAACCACC
Molecule: long non-coding RNA, 148 nt
Organism: Nematolebias whitei (Rio pearlfish)
Lineage: Eukaryota; Metazoa; Chordata; Actinopteri; Cyprinodontiformes; Rivulidae
Exons: 3
Source: RefSeq, a predicted model, not a curated record